This is a long non-coding RNA of Cephus cinctus (wheat stem sawfly), 546 nucleotides long. RefSeq lists it as uncharacterized. The record is from RefSeq and is a predicted model, not a curated record. The transcript is spliced from 2 exons. Lineage: Eukaryota; Metazoa; Arthropoda; Insecta; Hymenoptera; Cephidae.
CGCGAUACGCCCUCUGAAAAGCGUUAUUAUUGUGACCCAUGGGGAAUCCCUUCAUUUCUGAUGUCGUAGAGGAACUGAAAAGCUUUCCGACAGGGAAAGUUGUCCCCACCGGCUUUUGGUGCCUUGGGCAAAGGAAUGACGUCACCUAUCCGGGACCAACCAGACGGGCCGCUCCGGUGCUUUCACGUUCUAAUAUCUUAUGCAACUGUCUCCGCGCUCAACGGUAAUCGACGUACAGAACAUUCCGUGGGUGAACAAUUCUUAAGGUUAAUAUAUUUAGUAUUAUAUAGAUCUUAAUAAAAUUAUCAUUCUCAGAAUAUUGAUUAUCUAUUAGAAAAAAAAGUUUACACUUAUUUAAUUCAAAGCACGUAUAUUAACCUCUUAGGCACGGCUGAACUUUGCGCGGGGCUGUUUCUCUGUACGGCAGAGUUCAACGCGAAUUACGUGUAAAUGAUAAGGCACUGCAAUGUGUGACGGAUAAUGCUGUUCUUUACACGAGUACAUUGGAAUGAAGUGUUUGAUGAUUAAAUUAUAAUUUUUCUUAAA